RNAcentral lists this ribosomal RNA (60 nucleotides) under Protoparmeliopsis peltata. RNAcentral describes it as "partial 26S ribosomal RNA". The record is from RNAcentral. Lineage: Eukaryota; Fungi; Ascomycota; Lecanoromycetes; Lecanorales; Lecanoraceae.
UUGACCUCGGAUCAGGUAGGGAUACCCGCUGAACUUAAGCAUAUAUAAAACCGGGAGGAA